Long non-coding RNA from Pongo pygmaeus (Bornean orangutan), 549 nucleotides. RefSeq lists it as uncharacterized. The transcript has 3 exons. The record is from RefSeq and is a predicted model, not a curated record. NCBI's taxonomy places the organism in Eukaryota, Metazoa, Chordata, Mammalia, Primates, Hominidae.
GCUGCUUCUACUUCACGCCCAGGACAAGGUUUUCAAAUAGUGAGGAGCGGCUCAUAAAUAGAUCAUGAAACCAGUGUGGUGGCUCGUAACCUGUAUUUUAAAUAAUACAGCAAACAUAAUCAUGCAUCACAAGUGAAGGGAGUCUAGUGUGGAACCCGGAGUGUGCUACAGCCCUCACCUCUGCUACCUUGAAAACAAGCUGAAGGGUCUCAUCGUUAGGGGCUUCAAUGCAGGCUCCACACUUCAGUUUCAGACGUAGAGGCAUUUUCUAAAGCCAAGGGCUCCUCACAAUGCCAGUCUGUCGGCCCUAAAAACCUUCAACCUUCAGCACUGGUGUUCCAAACCAACUGUGUGGUACACAGCCCUGUGUGGAUAACUUUAGUGAAGUAAAAUAUGUAAGCUUCUGGCAUGCACAUAUAAUAAUGAGAUUCUGAAAAAGGGUUUUUAACAACAGUUAUGUCACGAGGCUCAUGGCUCCCUGAAGUCCCUGAAAACCUUGUUAAAUUAAAGAUUCGCUGUGGUUUUUUUCCGCUUCAUUCCUACUUCCCA